This 274-nucleotide ribosomal RNA is filed under the name uncultured bacterium. Its description in RNAcentral is "partial 16S ribosomal RNA". It matches the Rfam family "Bacterial small subunit ribosomal RNA", at positions 523 to 796 of the family's 1533-position model. The record is from RNAcentral.
CUACGGGGGGUGCAAGCGUUAAUCGGAAUUACUGAGCGUAAAGCGCGCGUAGGCGGUUUGCUCAGUCGGAUGUGAAAGCCCAGGGCUCAACCUUGGAACUGCAUACGAUACUGGCAAACUAGAGUGUGAGAGAGGAUAGUGGAAUUUCCGGUGUAGCGGUGAAAUGCGUAGAUAUCGGAAGGAACAUCAGUGGCGAAGGCGACUGUCUGGCUCAACACUGACGCUGAGGUGCGAAAGCGUGGGUAGCAAACAGGAUUAGAAACCCUAGUAGUCC